Molecule: ribosomal RNA, 460 nt
Filed under: uncultured bacterium
Lineage: Bacteria
Description: partial 16S ribosomal RNA
Rfam family: Bacterial small subunit ribosomal RNA
Source: RNAcentral
CCUACGGGAGGCAGCAGUGAGGAAUAUUGGUCAAUGGGCGCGAGCCUGAACCAGCCAAGUCGCGUGAGGGAUGACGGCCCUACGGGUUGUAAACCUCUUUUGUCGGGGAGCAACGGGGGGCACGUGUGGCGCCACUGAGAGUACCCGGAGAAAAAGCAUCGGCUAACUCCGUGCCAGCAGCCGCGGUAAUACGGAGGAUGCGAGCGUUAUCCGGAUUUAUUGGGUUUAAAGGGUGCGUAGGCGGAUUGUUAAGUCCGGGGUAAAAUUUCGGGGCUCAACCCCUUCUCGCCAUUGAAACUGGCGCUCUUGAGUGGACGAGAAGUAUGCGGAAUGCGUGGUGUAGCGGUGAAAUGCAUAGAUAUCACGCAGAACCCCGAUUGCGAAGGCAGCAUGCCGGCUUCCAACUGACGCUGAGGCACGAAAGCGUGGGUAUCGAACAGGAUUAGAUACCCGUGUAGUC